GACGAACGCUGGCGGCGUGCUUAACACAUGCAAGUCGAACGGAAAGGCCCUGCUUUGGUGGGGUGCUCGAGUGGCGAACGGGUGAGUAACACGUGAGUACCCUGCCCCUGACCUUGGGAUAACUUCAGAAAACUGGGGCUAAUCCCAGAUAGGAGCUCCUGCCGCAGGGUGGGGGUUGGAUAGUUUCGGCGGUUGGGGAUGGACUCGCGGCUUGUCAGCUUGUUGGGGGGGUAGUGGCUUACCAAGGCCUUGAGCGGUAGCCGGCCUGAGAGGGUGAGCGGCCCCAUUGGGACUGGGAUGCGGCCCGGACUCCUCCGGGAGGCAGCGGUGGGGAAUGUUGCACAAUGGGCGGAAGCCUAAUGCAGCAACGCCGCGUGCGGGAUGACGGCCUUCGGGUUGUAAACCGCUUUCGCCUGUGACGAAGCGUGAGUGACGGUAAUGGGUGAAGAAGCACCGGCUAACUACGUG
RNAcentral lists this ribosomal RNA (468 nucleotides) under uncultured bacterium. RNAcentral's name for it is "partial 16S ribosomal RNA". It matches the Rfam family "Bacterial small subunit ribosomal RNA", at positions 28 to 507 of the family's 1533-position model. The record is from RNAcentral.